RNAcentral lists this transfer RNA (77 nucleotides) under Hyphomicrobium sp. Its description in RNAcentral is "tRNA-Asp". It matches the Rfam family "tRNA". Rfam says of the family: Transfer RNA (tRNA) molecules are approximately 80 nucleotides in length. Their secondary structure includes four short double-helical elements and three loops (D, anti-codon, and T loops). RNAcentral also lists the same sequence under 5 other names. The record is from RNAcentral. Lineage: Bacteria; Pseudomonadati; Pseudomonadota; Alphaproteobacteria; Hyphomicrobiales; Hyphomicrobiaceae.
GCGGGAGUAGCUCAGUUGGUUAGAGCGCCGGCCUGUCACGCCGGAGGUCGCGGGUUCGAGUCCCGUCUCUCGCGCCA